ACUGCUUCUUGGCCUUUUGGCUAAGAUCAAGUGUAGUAUCAUUCUUAUCAGUUUACUAUCUGAUACGUCGUGUAUUCGAGGACAAUAUAUUAAAUGGAUAUUUGGAAAUAGGAUGUGGAAUAGGAGCUUGCUCUGUCCACUCCACACAUCGACCUGGUAUUGCAGUACUUCCAGGAACAGUGCACCAAAA
RNAcentral lists this small nuclear RNA (190 nucleotides) under Catagonus wagneri (Chacoan peccary). Its description in RNAcentral is "U2 spliceosomal RNA (ENSCWAG00000018684.1)". It matches the Rfam family "U2 spliceosomal RNA". Rfam says of the family: U2 is a small nuclear RNA (snRNA) component of the spliceosome (involved in pre-mRNA splicing). The record is from Rfam by way of RNAcentral. Lineage: Eukaryota; Metazoa; Chordata; Mammalia; Artiodactyla; Tayassuidae.